Molecule: long non-coding RNA, 7272 nt
Organism: Taeniopygia guttata (zebra finch)
Lineage: Eukaryota; Metazoa; Chordata; Aves; Passeriformes; Estrildidae
Source: Ensembl
CAUCUAAAUGUCGAGCCACAGACAAUAAGGAGCCAGCCUCUGCUCCUAUUAACCCAAAGUGCUGGAAGGAUUGCAGGGCAGAAAAAUUACUUUGCCUGGUAAAAAUGUAAAUGUCACUUUACAGAGGACAACUACAAUUUGACAGAAAAUCCACUACCUCCUCCAAACACUUUGUGAGCUCUUUUGGAUGCCAUGCCACAACUUAUUGAGUGAGCAAGGUGGAACACAACUGCUAUUUUUCCAGACCCAUCUACUCAAUCUCCAUCUGCAGUCCAUUUAUCUGUCACUGGAUGGACCUGUCACUGCCACAAGGGCUCCCAUUUUAAAAAAGCAUCAAAAACAGUGAAAGGCAGCCAAGACCUCCUUCCUUUCUCCUCACCAGACAAAUUCAGAUCUGUAAGAUAUUGGCAUGAAUCCCAUUCUCUAUGAUCCCCUGGCUAAAUCCCAACCAAAGUGGUGUCAGACUGGGAGUUCCCUGGGCUCCUCUAAAUGAAAAUUAUUUUCUGCAACUGAAAUUGAGAUCCCAUUAUCCCAUGCUGGAUCACUUCCAAGUAGCACAGAAGCCUUCAGCCUGUUUUCUCACCCACUAGGUACCAGCUCCUACCAAGUAAGUCAAUACCCUCUCCUGUUGUCCUGCAGCAGUGCUGAGGAAGAGCUUCAGGGACAUCUCAGAGUUUGCAAAGCUCCCAGGGGGAAGAAGCCUGUGAUUAUUCCUGUGCCAUCAAAACCAGACUUUCAGGAGAAGAGCUGAGAGACAGAAAUCCACACUGAAGUCCUGGAACAAGCCCUGACUACAAAGCUCUGUAGGCUUCUUUUCCACAAUGUCUCUAUGGCUUUCUGCCCCAUUCCCAGCCUGGUUGUUCUGUGUUGGCACAGACCCUGUGAGAAACAAAAACCAGAAUUCUUCUGAGAUAUAGGAAAUGCUUUUUAUCAGAGCUCUACCCAAUCCAUCCAUUGGUCAGUGUCUCCCACUGUCUGCCAGACUGUUUUAAUUCCUUUUCUGUGAACAUUUCCUGCCUUCACCACCCUGGAAGUUCCUCCUUAGGUCAGGUGGAAGGCAUGGGGUAGUGUGUGAAUUAGUUAACUCCCCUGCUGAGGAUGCCAAGCUUCAUCAGCCAUACCAGGGUUGCAAAAAAAUAACAUUCCAGGUAUUUUGCACUCCAGGGCACAGAGGGCUCUCAGAGAAACUCAUAGUACUGUGGAAAUAAUCACAGAGAAACAACCAGGAGAGCAAAACUGAAAAAGAGAUAUAAAAAGGAAAGCAGAAAAAUGCACACAUUUGAGGGCAGGGAAAGCACAAAGAGCAAUGUGGAGAUGCAGAGCAGCAGAAAGUGAGAAGAUAAAAUUAUAUUCACAGAGACCUGGCUAUAGGGAAAUAAAAGGGGAGGGAGCCAUACAGAGGGGAGAGCACAGAUGCAAGGAAGGAGAAUACAGGGCAUGGAAGGGAAGCAGGGAGUCAGACAGGGGGAAAGGGAGGGAUCUGGAGAGAUUGCCUGAUGUCAAAUCUGAUAGAAAAGAGGAUUUAUCUGCAAAAAUAACCCAGAUCUAAGCCACAGCUUCAGAGCAGCUGCGCGCACAGCCACAGCACUAUUUGCUCUUAAGCAAGAGAAAAAAUGUGCUGGCGCAGGCUGCGAGGCAAAGCGGGGUCGCGCUGCGCCAAGAGGCUGCCCAUCCCAGGCUGCCCAUCCCAGGCUGCCCAUCCCAGGCUGCCCAUCCCAGGCUGCCCAUCAGCCCGGACCAAGACGAAGGGAAGGCAAAGAAAGACGAGGCAAAGCAGAGGAAGGCAAGGGGGCAGGGGCGGCGGGCCCGUCCCUGUCCAGGGUGCUGACCGGACCCGCCGCCUCCAGAGCCGGCCCGCUCUCCUCCUCCUGCCCCUUCCCGUCCCAGAGCGCUGGGGCCACGCUGGCAGGCAGACAAAAGCACUGUGCUUCCCGGAGAGAGCUGAGCAGCGGGGAAAGAAACACACAGUCAGCUACAAAUAAAAUAUAUUUUCACCAUUCCUCUCUCCUGCCAGUAUUUUCAGCAGUGGAGCUGGGCUUUCUCAGAGCAGGGAUGGAUGACCAGCAGUAAAGUGUAUGUGCAUGGCCAGGGAAGGGAAUGAACAUAAGGCACCUCUGGAGCUGCACUUCUGAUCUGUCUGGAAAUGUCAUUCUAUGGAUUGGAUAUCCCCUCCGUGAAGGACAGCCCUCACUGCUCCUUGAACUAGCCUGUGCUGCCCUGGAUGUGUCUGGGUGCCCUCUGUCUCUUUUGCUGCUGGAUCCCAGGCUGUCAGAGAUAGAGAUGGGAGGAUGAACUCACAGCUAUCCCACCUGCCCCUGAUCCAUCCAGAUUAUAUUGGAUGGAAUUGGCAGUCACAAAAGCAUGGUGUCUGUUGGGCCAUGUUUGCCACCAGGGAGCUUUUUGUGGGAAGGUUUCACUCCAUGGCCUUGAUGCUUACAAAAGGCUUAGUCUUGAAAAGAGGUCUUAAAACCACAGUCCACCCACCGGUGGACAGCUGCUCUGUCCACACAGCAGCUUGAGCUGUGACUAUUGACUGCCAAGUCAUUUCGAAAGAUGAAAGGUCUGGAAUGGAGCUUGGCCUCCUCUGCCCUCAGCUCCAGGAUGCGUCUCUGCCUCUUCCCAAACACAUCCUGGCCUCACCAGGCCGUUUUUGUUCCAGAGAAUUGCAAAUCAGCUGCCCCACAGAGGAAAAAGCAGUGCCCAGGACCCUGACAGAGCUGCUCAAUGGGUAUCUACAAAUGGUGUUGGCACAGCACUGCAGAACAAAUCCGUCUUUUCAAAAUCAACCAGGUAUCAGUGCUUUACUAUCAGAAACUGGGUUUUCAAUUCCAGCGCUGAUAGUCUGGACAGAACAAUGUGUUUUAAGAGUCAGUUGGACAAAUCUGCUGGGAGGGGUAUAAAGCGGCUGGCCCUGCUGCAGGAUUAGAUAACCUCCUGAUAGCUGAAUAACAGCACCUCUCUAACUCUCUGUGAUUUGAAUAUGAGACCAAGCCAGAGUGCAGUUUCCAGUCACACAGAUUGUUGUGCUACCAGACUAACAACAACAUAAACACUGUUUUCCAACACUGAAAUCUUGCUUAUAGGUCAUGUGUAGCGGGAACUUGAUAUGGCACAAACAUGAUUCAUGCCAUGUCCAUGUAACAGCAAGCAUGACUCUAUAAGCACCUUUCUCCAGGCCACCAUAAGAGGCAAAAUGACCUCCAGGGAUGCAGAUGCAGGGUAUCAGCCUGGUCCCAAGUCUCCUGACAACCAAGCAAAUCAGAGAGCUUGUAAUCAACUGGGCCCACAUUACAUGAAGAUGUGCUGCCUGUCAGAAACCAGCCCCAUCUUUUGGGAUGACUGAAGCCAGGAAAAUAAACCAGGAAGAAUUAAAACAGAACAGCACAGUCCAGAUUAGCUAGGAUAAAUUACCUGCCUUGUGGCAUCUCCCCCAGCUCUGCUCUCCUUGGCUGUCCUGUGCCUAGCAGCUUGCUGACUGAGUAGCCAUCCCUCUCUGGUGGGCCAGUGCCACAUGUUUAAGUUGGAACAUUAUUCUCCAGUUCUAGGAAAUUGGAUUAAGGUUCAGACAAUACUGACUGUUAUUUACCUUUGAUUAAAACCAGCCCUCCUCCCUCCCAGGCCAGAGAGACCAAUGUUGCUGUUAUUUACUCUGCUGCCAAACCUGGAGUUCAAUCCCUGCCCUGCGGCACUCAAUAAAAGUCAGAGCAGAGGUGGGGGUGUGUAGCAGGCAGGGCUGAGUGGGUGGAAGAGGAGUGAUUAUCCAGGCCACUAUGUCCACUUUGCAGUCAGACUCUGGCUCAGCAAGGACUGGGGUGCUCAUAUUGCCUGCCUAUGUGGCUCAUAGGGCUGAGGAAUGCAGCCAGGGUGAUCCCAAGCAAGCCCUGUUUGCCCCCAAGCCUGACUCUGGUCCUCUCCCCUCAACAAAUCCUCACUUCCACACAGCUUUCCUUUUUGUGUCCUCCUUUCUCUCUUUUCCUUCAGCCUCCCCUCUCUGCCAUGACCUCCCUGCCUCCCCUUUCUGCCUUUUCCUCUCUUCUGCUCCCACUCCUUCCCUUCCUCUUCCUCCCAGUCCCCUUCUCAUUCCUCGCAUUCCCCUCCUUCCCUCUCCCCCACUCUCCAAGCCGCUAUUCCAGGACAAUAGAGCAGAUGGCAGGCUGUUUGUUUUAUAUGUCCCUUUGGAAAAUCAGCUCAGCUGUUGAAUCUGCGACUUUUGCUAAAAACAGACACCGUCCAAUACAGCUGAAUGCCAGGGAGAAAGGAGAGGGUGUGGGGGGGCCCUGCUCUCCCUGCCAGCUGCACCGAGACUCUGUCUGCCUGCACCCCACACCAUGCCUCUGGGAAACAAGCCUGUCAGAGAGCCCAGAGAGGAGCUUCUCCCCUGCAGAAAAAACACUGUGGCAAGCAGAGAGCUUGGCCAGCUUCUACAGUCAGCCUCACUCCAGCCAAAACUGAUGGUGAUGUGGGAAAGGUGGGGUAGUGUGGAAGGGGCAGACUCUUGUCAGCACAUCCAUCCUGCUCGUUGCCCCAGCCUGCUGCUUCUCCCAGUGCUCAUGGAAGCUGAGUUACCUGGGGUAUGCUCAGGCAGAAGAUGUAGCACAGAGUAGAAGCUGAUGCUCUCUGCCAACCCCAUAGCUCCUCCUAUGCUAUUGGGAGAGCCAUGAGAGAGAAACCACCAGCAACAAGGUGGUUGGAGAGGGGAAGAGUUCUUACCUUUUUCCUUCUGACUUUCCCCUCUCUUUUCUGAGCCCUAAAACCCAUCAGACCACUAUUCAUUAUUUGCCAGCACAGCCAUGAAGAGGAUGUGAAAUUUUUUCUCUGGUUCUUUCUCUUAUCCAAACCACUUGCUUUAUCCCUCACCUCUCAUGUGCUUAUACCACAUGAGCUUAUACCAAAAACCUUUCAGAUCUUCAUGGUAUUUCUGGGUGGAAAGGAAACUCUUCUCCUGAACUCUGCCCCUCCCUGGCCCAAAAAGCACCUUCUUCUCCCUGCUUAGACAUAACAAUACUGCCUCAUCGGUCCUGUAAGCCCUCUCUUCCUUCCUCACUCUGUCUCUGUUUGUAAGUAAUUCAGAGAAGGCACCCUGUCCAGCACCAAGUACAAGCUUGCCUUGGCUCAGAACCAGGGCUGCUGGAUUCUUUGCCAGUGCAAUUGCUGGAUAUUUCAUGGCAUAUCCUCCAUCUGAUACAACGUGGCCAAAGGCACCAGCUGCAGACUCCCUCUGUGCCCCACUUCUGGGGGUGGAAUGGGGAAAGCAGAGUUUCAGAAUAGCAGCAUCUCUCCCCAUCCAAAUGCCCUGUUUCAUCGCACUUCUUCUCCCUACACGGCUAAAAUCAACAACACUGUCUUGUUUUCAAGCAGUGGCAAAAGGGUCAGGACCAGCAAAUCCUGUUAAAUUUGUUCUUAGAGUUCACUAUGGAUCAGAUGCAGCUCCCAACAAAACCAAGAGAGGCUUAACCGAGGCACAGUCAGCUGUAAAGUCAGAAGAGGCUCCUUAGCCUUGCAAAAUCCUGGAAGGCAAUUUAAACACAAGAGAUAGGCAAGGAGCCCAUUCUUGGGGUCUGUAAUUAAUCACUUACAGUUCAAACAGGGAGAGAGAUAAGUUCCCUGCUUUCUUGGAGUUCAAGAUGGAUCAAACAGGAAGGGAAAAAAAUCUCAGGCUGUCAAGGAACAGCCUUAAGAGGCAAUGCCAUUUGAGUUACUACAGCUCAGUUCUGCACUCCUUUAACCUCCCAGGUAUUUAUGCAGAAAGUCUACAGGAAAAAUUCCUGCACCAGCUGGUGAGAACAGACACAGUUACUUAACAUUUAUGAUGCUGCUCUUCUUCCUGGCCUUGCUUAUGCCUAUGGCAACAUUUGCAUCCUCUUCAAUGAAGCCACAUGAUGAGCACUAUUUGGCAGGGGAGAAAGCUCCAGUUAGUCUGAGAUUCCAUCUCGGGCACCAACUGCUAGCAGGUUCCUCGAGGAAAAACAUAAGGAUGGUCCAAGCCUCCCUGUGACCAUGCACUCACUGAAUAGAGUAGUCACCCACCCUCCUUCAGCUUUGCAUCCAUCCCAGAAGUGUGCAGAGCCAGCUGUCAAGUCAGGUUUUUCAGAGACUGAAGACAAAACAAAUAUAACAAAUUAAUCAAAAGAGCUGCUGAUCCCACUCUGGACUGUCUGAAAAGACUGCAUUGUAAGCAAGGGCAGAAGAAGUAAAUUAAGAAGCUAAAUCUGUUGUAAGCAAGUGAUUGUAACACUGACAAAAAGCCACUGACUUAUCUGGAGUGUUAUUAAAAAAAUAAGAGGUUCAGGGCCAACCAAACUGGUCUCCCCUCUUCCAAGGUGGACUCUGUCUCACAGGCUGGCAUCCUCAGUGGCACUGGGGAGCUGCAGGUGCCCUGAUCACAAAAAAAAAAAAUCCAGACCUGGGGGGCCAGGCAGCAUCCCAUUUCCUGCUCCUGCAAACAGCACUUUCAAUGCACUGCUAAAACUCCCACACUCCUCCAAGGCCUUCCUUGGUGGUUUCUUUCCUUCCAGUCUCCUUUCUUCCUGUUCCUAUUUCUCAUCCUUUGACUUCUGUCUGACAAACUGCUCACCUUUUGAAGGCUGCUUCCUUAGCAAGAAGCCUGGGGAGAGAGCUGAAGGCUGCAGUCCAGGUACAAGUUGGGCAAAUCCCACAGUGGCUCAGGAAUCUGUUUUUCUUUGGCAGCAGAGCUGUUAAGAGGAGUUGGCACCAGAGACAGAACCAUUGUCUAGUGUUGCUAUUCUUCUCUCUCCCCUUCAAGUCUUUAGCAACAACUGCAUUUUCCCACCUAUUUCGACUAACUUCUUUUCCCCUAAAGAAAGGAUAGUCAUUAGCAUUUUUUUUUGCACUGUCAAAUAGGGCUUUUCUUAUAAAAAUUCUUCACGCUAUGGGGAAAGUGAAGAAAAGAUAUUGUUAACAUGAAAGCCUUACUUAAUAUUUUACAUUUCAAAUACUGUAACUGCUUUUUUUCCCCCUCCUUCUCCUUUUUCUGAAUUUUCAGUAUACAGUUUAAACAUCAUUAAUAGUGUUGGUUGCUAUGGUGUUGGGCAGGCAGAGGUGUUUGUACUUGAAACCUUGAACUACACUUAAUGUUGUACAACAGCAGGGUUAUGCCAACACCCUUGACUUUGACCUCGUUUUUCCCAGUAAAACAUAAAGACCAUGUCUCCAUUCCUUUUUGCUCUUGGGAGAGGUUUUUUUUUUCCCCUGAAAUGAGAAAAAGAAAUGUGAGCUAGAGAAAGAUAGAGAUAUUUAAAAAAAAAAAAAAAA